RNAcentral lists this long non-coding RNA (523 nucleotides) under Nicotiana benthamiana. Its description in RNAcentral is "long non-coding RNA (NBEN_LNC020033)". The record is from RNAcentral. Lineage: Eukaryota; Viridiplantae; Streptophyta; Magnoliopsida; Solanales; Solanaceae.
AACAUAAAACAACACAUCAACUUUUAAACCAUUUUGUGAAUCCCAAAUAAUCUAGAGAUCUUCGGAAGGUUCUAAGUUUAAAAUAUUAAAGCUAAACGCAAGGAAAAUUGAACAAAGAAUGCAUGAAAUUCAGUGUUCUCUUUGAGUGUUCUAUCAGCCGUUUGUUUUUCUGCAUUUUUCAGCUUUUUCAAAUCUUUCCAAAUAUGCCUUGAUAGUGAAGAAACAAUGCCCUUUAUAGGAAAUUAUAGGGCAGUAGAAAUGAGUCUAUGUUAUUUGCCCUUUAAUCCUUUUCCAAUUUUUAUAUAGUUACUUGGCCCCUAUUUUAAAAAUCUAUUUGUUAAAAUAGCACCAAACCUACCUUCCAAGAAUCUUCCUAAGUUAGUUAUAUAAGAUUCCUUUACCUAACUUCCCCAAACUACCCUUCAAGACUCUGUUAAUUACCUCUGGAACCAAAAGGGUCAAAUUAACCCAAGGCCUAAAACAUAAUGAACGGGUUGCCCCUUGAAAGUGGGUCAAAAUUAAC